Molecule: long non-coding RNA, 917 nt
Filed under: Papio anubis (olive baboon)
Lineage: Eukaryota; Metazoa; Chordata; Mammalia; Primates; Cercopithecidae
Description: lncRNA (ENSPANG00000051310.1)
Source: RNAcentral
GAAUUUAUCUGAAUAUUUGUAAAGUGCAUGACACUGAGCACAUAGGUGGAAUGAUUUAUGAAACUAGUAAUGCUUCCUUUCUUGCGAGAGUAGAAGUCAUCUAGAUCAGUGCUUAGAAAUAUAGGCUUUGGAGUCACUUACCUGGGUUUAAGUCCUGAUUGCACCAUUUGUUUGGGCUAAUUUCUAUGUCCUAAUUUUCUCAUGGUAAUAGAGAUAUCUAUUAUUUAUCUCUUGUUGUUCUUUUGAAUAUGUGCAAUGGUAUUUGUAUAGAAUUGUGCACAGUGCCUGGCACACAGUUGGUUCUUACUAAGUGGUAAUGACUGUAAUAGGAGGAAAUUAGAAGGCUUCAAGAAAACCCAAUAGUUAGUAUAGUAAUAACUCUCAUGGACUUUCCUCAGUUGUAUACUCAUUUUAUUCUAGCCUGGAGGUGUGAUUGGAUAUUUUCUGCCAGUACAAUUGACUAGCAGAGAAUUAGCUGCUCAAAAUAUGUUCAACUUUCUAAUGCAUGAUAAGAUUUAGCCUGAGUAUCUGGUUUGAUAUUCUAUUUAGGUCCUGCACAGUUCAAUAUUAAAUGGAGUUUCUACCCUAGCGUGAAAGGAGGAAGAGAGAAAAUUGGCUCCAAGAAGAAUUCGGCUCCAAAAUUCCCCGAAUGUUAGAGUGAGACCAUCUGGAAUUCAAAAUGUUACUGUAGGUAACUGACAGUUGAAUAUCGGAAGACAUAGGAAAUAGAAGGCUAAGGUGAACAUUAUUUCUAUUCCUAUACUCAGGUGGUUAUGCUGAACAUGUAAAUAUUCUCCCUGCUGUGAAGAUUAGUGCAGCUGGCCAAAGAUGCUUUAUUUUAAAUAUGUGGAUGCAGGAAGAGAAAAGCAUCAGAAACACUGCAUGGGGUAAGACUGUCCUGGCUGCCAGGGUCUUGG